CCCUUAGAUGUUCUGGGCCGCACGCGCGCUACACUGACGGAGCCAACGAGUAUUUUCCUUGUCCGGGAGGACUGGGUAAUCUUGUGAAACUUUGUCGUGCUGGGGAUAGAGCAUUGUAAUUAUUGCUCUUCAACGAGGAAUUCCUAGUAAGCGUGAGUCAUCAGCUCGCGUUGAUUACGUCCCUGCCCUUUGUACACACCGCCCGUCGCUACUACCGAUUGAAUGGCUUAGUGAGCCUUUGGGAUUGGCAGCCAACACCGGCAACGGUAGCUGGCCGCCGAAAACUUAUGCAAACUUGGUCAUUUAGAGGAAGUAAAAGUCGUAACA
Molecule: ribosomal RNA, 327 nt
Filed under: uncultured eukaryote
Lineage: Eukaryota
Description: partial 18S ribosomal RNA
Rfam family: Eukaryotic small subunit ribosomal RNA
Source: RNAcentral